Molecule: long non-coding RNA, 608 nt
Filed under: Trifolium pratense (red clover)
Lineage: Eukaryota; Viridiplantae; Streptophyta; Magnoliopsida; Fabales; Fabaceae
Description: long non-coding RNA (TPRA_LNC010254)
Source: RNAcentral
UUGUUUCGUGAAAAAUAAAUUAGAAGAUAAAAUGAAAUUAUGAAACCCCAAACAAAUGAAGGAGUCAAUCGGCGCACGACGGCCGACGGCGAGCAUGACCAAGUCGUUGUAAUAUACAGAGGAUGAAGCUGCGACUCACUAUAGACAAAGAAACCAUUGUAAUGAAAACCCCAAAUUGUUUCACUUGUACAGAAACAAAGAAGUUAAUUUAUCUAAUUUUUUGAUUAUGUUGUAAACUAUUGAAAUUCAUUUGUAGUUGUUAUGGUGUCCUUGCAAAAUGAGCUAUUCAUUUGUAGUUGUUCUGUUGCCCUUGUUUGAUUGAGUAUUCUGUUCUUUAUCUUAUUGAAGUUUCCCAAUUAAUUGGUAUUGAAAGUUAAAAGCCUGAAUAUCAAUUAUCAAUAUGUUGAAUAAAAUUGGACAAAACGAAUUGUUGUGCAGAAAAUAUUGUAAGAUUUGGAAAAGAGUAUUGGCCUGAAUAUUAAGGUGAAGAUUCGUGUGAAUGAGCUAAAUGCAGAAAAGUCUAGAAUGGAAGAGGUUAGAAGAAGGAGACGAUGCACAGAAAAAAUUUGGGGCAAUUUUGUUGUGUUAUAUCCCUGCCGUUUGAUUAA